This 465-nucleotide ribosomal RNA is filed under the name uncultured bacterium. Its description in RNAcentral is "partial 16S ribosomal RNA". It matches the Rfam family "Bacterial small subunit ribosomal RNA", at positions 339 to 795 of the family's 1533-position model. The record is from RNAcentral.
CUACGGGAGGCUCCAGUGGGGAAUAUUGGACAAUGGGGGAAACCCUGAUCCAGCAAUGCCGCGUGUGUGAAGAAGGCCUGCGGGUUGUAAAGCACUUUCGGUUGGGAGGACUGCUUCUAGCACUAAUAUUGUUGGAAGUUGACGUUACCUUCAGAAGAAGCACCGGCUAACUCCGUGCCAGCAGCCGCGGUAAUACGGAGGGUGCAAGCGUUAAUCGGAAUUACUGGGCGUAAAGCGCGCGUAGGCGGCUAGAUCAGUCGGGUGUGAAAGCCCCGGGCUUAACCUGGGAACUGCAUCCGAUACUGUCUAGCUUGAGUACAGGAGAGGAGAGUGGAAUUCCAUAUGUAGCGGUGAAAUGCGUAGAUAUGUGGAGGAACACCAAUGGCGAAGGCAGCUCUCUGGCCUGAUACUGACGCUGAGGUGCGAAAGCGUGGGGAGCAGACAGGAUUAGAUACCCGAGUAGUC